GAAUCUUUUACUUUCACUAACACGAUAAAGCACAAAUAAUGCCACAUGUUGUGCUCUUCUUUAAUGUGCUCUUCAAAGGUGACUGUCUUGUUAUCAAACUUAUCUCUUUCCAAACCACAAAUAAAGCAAGUUGUUUUUAAAAUCUCUUCUUUCUUCUGUUUUUCACUCCUCUUUGGAUGGUUUCCUGAGCACAUCACCUAC
This 201-nucleotide long non-coding RNA is filed under the name Gallus gallus (chicken). Lineage: Eukaryota; Metazoa; Chordata; Aves; Galliformes; Phasianidae. The record is from RNAcentral.